This 474-nucleotide ribosomal RNA is filed under the name uncultured bacterium. RNAcentral describes it as "partial 16S ribosomal RNA". It matches the Rfam family "Bacterial small subunit ribosomal RNA", at positions 328 to 793 of the family's 1533-position model. The record is from RNAcentral.
GGACCAGACUCCUACGGGAGGCAGCAGUGGGGAAUCUUCCGCAAUGGGAGCAAGCCUGACGGAGCAACGCCGCGUGAAUGAAGAAGGUCUUCGGAUCGUAAAGUUCUGUUCUUAGGGAAGAAGUCUUUUCUUGUGAAUAAUGGGAGAAGGUGACGGUACCUAUGGAGAAAGCUCCGGCUAACUACGUGCCAGCAGCCGCGGUAAUACGUAGGGAGCGAGCGUUAUCCGGAAUGAUUGGGCGUAAAGGGUGCGCAGGCGGUCCUGCAAGUCUGGAGUGAAACGCAUGAGCUCAACUCAUGCAUGGCUUUGGAAACUGGAGGACUGGAGAGCAGGAGAGGGCAGUGGAACUCCAUGUGUAGCGGUAAAAUGCGUAGAUAUAUGGAAGAACACCAGUGGCGAAGGCGGCCGCCUGGCCUGUUGCUGACGCUGAGGCACGAAAGCGUGGGGAGCAAAUAGGAUUAGAUACCCCGGUAA